GAGCGGCGAACGGGUGAGUAACACGUGGGUGAUCUGCCUCGCACUCUGGGAUAAGCCUGGGAAACUGGGUCUAAUACCGGAUAUGACUUUCGGAUGCAUGUUCGAGGGUGGAAAGAUUUAUCGGUGCGAGAUGGGCCCGCGGCCUAUCAGCUUGUUGGUGGGGUAACGGCCCACCAAGGCGACGACGGGUAGCCGACCUGAGAGGGUGACCGGCCACACUGGGACUGAGACACGGCCCAGACUCCUACGGGAGGCAGCAGUGGGGAAUAUUGCACAAUGGGCGAAAGCCUGAUGCAGCGACGCCGCGUGGGGGAUGACGGCCUUCGGGUUGUAAACCCCUUUUGACAGGGACGAAGCGCAAGUGACGGUACCUGUAGAAGAAGCACCGGCCAACUACGUGCCAGCAGCCGCGGUAAUACGUAGGGUGCGAGCGUUGUCCGGAAUUACUGGGCGUAAAGAGCUUGUAGGCGGUCUGUCACGUCUUCUGUGAAAACUUGGGGCUCAACCUUAAGCUUGCAGGGGAUACGGGCAGACUAGAGUACUUCAGGGGAGACUGGAAUUCCU
Molecule: ribosomal RNA, 564 nt
Filed under: Nocardia sp. 337A03
Lineage: Bacteria; Bacillati; Actinomycetota; Actinomycetes; Mycobacteriales; Nocardiaceae
Description: bacterial SSU rRNA
Rfam family: Bacterial small subunit ribosomal RNA
Source: RNAcentral